Long non-coding RNA from Nematostella vectensis (starlet sea anemone), 738 nucleotides. RefSeq lists it as uncharacterized. Lineage: Eukaryota; Metazoa; Cnidaria; Anthozoa; Actiniaria; Edwardsiidae. The transcript is spliced from 2 exons. The record is from RefSeq and is a predicted model, not a curated record.
UCUUUGCACCACGCAGUUGAUAAAUACUUGGGUUUUAGGUUGCAGUUACAGAUGAAACAAUUUUGAGCAUAACCAGCGAUGAUAACAUGCGCUUGAGUCUAGCGAGUUGCUCUAAAUAUAACUCGGUUGCUUUGAAGAUACACAGGGACAAAGAACUGGCCAAUCGCCUUGUAAAAUUCUUAAUUAACAAGCAACACCCAGUAUGCCCUGGCCCAAGCUCUACCCAUGAUGCUUUACGUACCUCGAGCUCACGGAUCCUCUUCCUGAGUGAUUCCACAAGGUUGUUGCUGUCCUCAAGUUUCCCGCUCAGCUCAACGAUGUUAGCGUCUCGCCUGAUGGAGAAGAAAGUGUUGCGAUUCAUUUAGUUAAAUGUAAUGUUACAUUAUCGACUCAGACUUGCGUGACACUGUUAUAUCCUGGCUUAAAUUGUUGCUAUAUAUAAUAUAUAAUUUGAGGUAUUACUGGCUUUUUUAACCUUUCCCCCAGGAGUGUGGUCAAAAGGAUUACUAAGGAACGUCCCAACUAAAAAUAACGGCAAGAAACAAGAUUGAUAACAUUAUGUAACAUUUGGUCACGCCACAGUCGCCAAUUGGGGCACACAUAGUUUAGGCCUCUUUGAUGUAUCUAUUUAAAAGGUUUGCAAUCAUUACCAGGAGCGCAAACUGACCUAAAGGAAACAAAAGCUUGCCAGGGGAAGAUAAAGGGAAUCUACCAAGAAUAAAAAAGACUCCCAGAAAA